This 497-nucleotide ribosomal RNA is filed under the name uncultured bacterium. Its description in RNAcentral is "partial 16S ribosomal RNA". It matches the Rfam family "Bacterial small subunit ribosomal RNA", at positions 28 to 507 of the family's 1533-position model. The record is from RNAcentral.
GAUGAACGCUGGCGGCGUGCCUAAUACAUGCAAGUCGAGCGAAAAGCCGAGGCGCUUGCUCCUUCGACGUUAGGGGUGGACGGGUGAGUAACACGCAGGUAUCCUACCUAUAACCCUGGGAUAACUUCGGGAAUCCGCCGCUCAAACCGGAUAAUAUUUCGAACCGCUUUGUUCGAUACUGCAAUAUGGCUUUGCUAUCCCUUAUAGAUGGACUUGCGCCGGAUUAUCUAGGCGGUAGGGGACCGGCUUCCCAAGGCAACGCUGCGUAGCCGACCUGAUGGGGUGAGCGUCCACACUGGAACUGUGCCACGGUCCAGACUCCGCCGCGAGGGAGCAGUAGAGUGUGUGCCGCAAGGGGCGAAAGCCUGACGGAGCCACGCCGCGUGAGGGACGAAAGUCCUCGGAUCGUAAAACUCUGUUAUUAGGGAAGAACAAGCGUGGAGAUUACUGGGCACGUCUUGACGGUACCUAAUCAAAAAGCCACGGCUAACUACGUG